This 253-nucleotide ribosomal RNA is filed under the name uncultured bacterium. RNAcentral's name for it is "partial 16S ribosomal RNA". It matches the Rfam family "Bacterial small subunit ribosomal RNA", at positions 524 to 776 of the family's 1533-position model. The record is from RNAcentral.
UACGUAGGGGGCAAGCGUUGUCCGGAAUCAUUGGGCGUAAAGGGUGUGUAGGUGGCGCCGUAAGUCGGGUGUGAAAUCUCAGAGCUCAACUCUGAAACUGCACUCGAUACUGCUUUGCUUGAGGACUGGAGAGGAGAUUGGAAUUCACGGUGUAGCAGUGAAAUGCGUAGAUAUCGUGAGGAAGACCAGUGGCGAAGGCGGAUCUCUGGACAGUUCCUGACGCUGAGGCGCGAAGGCCAGGGGAGCAAACGGG